UACGAAGGGGGCUAGCGUUGCUCGGAAUCACUGGGCGUAAAGCGCACGUAGGCGGAUUGUUAAGUCAGGGGUGAAAUCCUGGAGCUCAACUCCAGAACUGCCUUUGAUACUGGCGAUCUUGAGUCCGGGAGAGGUGAGUGGAACUGCGAGUGUAGAGGUGAAAUUCGUAGAUAUUCGGAAGAACACCAGUGGCGAAGGCGGCUCACUGGACUGGUAUUGACGCUGAGGUGCGAAAGCGUGGGGAGCAAACAGG
This 253-nucleotide ribosomal RNA is filed under the name uncultured bacterium. RNAcentral describes it as "partial 16S ribosomal RNA". It matches the Rfam family "Bacterial small subunit ribosomal RNA", at positions 524 to 776 of the family's 1533-position model. The record is from RNAcentral.